This 65-nucleotide transfer RNA is filed under the name Ogmocotyle ailuri. Its description in RNAcentral is "tRNA-Arg". The record is from RNAcentral. Lineage: Eukaryota; Metazoa; Platyhelminthes; Trematoda; Plagiorchiida; Notocotylidae.
UUUGAUAGCUCGGUAGGAGGGUUUGUGUUUCGGCCACAAACAGGAAAUAAGAAUUUCUGUCAAAG